UCCUUCAGUAUCUCAUGCCUUGGGCUGGU
This 29-nucleotide non-coding RNA is filed under the name Rattus norvegicus (Norway rat). Lineage: Eukaryota; Metazoa; Chordata; Mammalia; Rodentia; Muridae. The record is from RNAcentral.